This 341-nucleotide ribosomal RNA is filed under the name Salmonella enterica subsp. enterica serovar Derby. RNAcentral's name for it is "partial 23S ribosomal RNA". It matches the Rfam family "Bacterial large subunit ribosomal RNA", at positions 504 to 746 of the family's 2925-position model. The record is from RNAcentral. Lineage: Bacteria; Pseudomonadati; Pseudomonadota; Gammaproteobacteria; Enterobacterales; Enterobacteriaceae. RNAcentral also lists the same sequence under 79 other names.
UGAGGGAAAGGCGAAAAGAACCCCGGCGAGGGGAGUGAAAAAGAACCUGAAACCGUGUACGUACAAGCAGUGGGAGCCCCACCACUAAGCCAGUGGUGAACUCCACAUACGCAUCCUUUGCUGAGGAUACGGUUAACGGAGCGCAAGCGACGUUCAACCGCAAAAGAAGCAGAGGGGGCUUAGUGGUGGGGUGACUGCGUACCUUUUGUAUAAUGGGUCAGCGACUUAUAUUCUGUAGCAAGGUUAACCGUAUAGGGGAGCCGGAGGGAAACCGAGUCUUAAUUGGGCGUUAAGUUGCAGGGUAUAGACCCGAAACCCGGUGAUCUAGCCAUGGGCAGGUU